AAGGUUUUAGCUUAAUUAAAGUACUUGAUUUGCAUUCAGGUGAUGUUGGAUAAAGUCCUGCAGGUCUUA
This 69-nucleotide transfer RNA is filed under the name Leiopelma hamiltoni. RNAcentral's name for it is "tRNA-Ala". It matches the Rfam family "tRNA". From Rfam's summary of the family: Transfer RNA (tRNA) molecules are approximately 80 nucleotides in length. Their secondary structure includes four short double-helical elements and three loops (D, anti-codon, and T loops). The record is from RNAcentral. Lineage: Eukaryota; Metazoa; Chordata; Amphibia; Anura; Leiopelmatidae.